GACGAGGCACUACGGUGCUGAAGCAACAAAUGCCCUGCUUCCAGGAAAAGCCUCUAAGCAUCAGGUAACAUCAAAUCGUACCCCAAACCGACACAGGUGGUCAGGUAGAGAAUACCAAGGCGCUUGAGAGAACUCGGGUGAAGGAACUAGGCAAAAUGGUGCCGUAACUUCGGGAGAAGGCACGCUGACACGUAGGUGAAGUGAUUUACUCACGGAGCUGAAGUCAGUCGAAGAUACCAGCUGGCUGCAACUGUUUAUUAAAAACACAGCACUGUGCAAACACGAAAGUGGACGUAUACGGUGUGACGCCUGCCCGGUGCCGGAAGGUUAAUUGAUGGGGUCAGCGCAAGCGAAGCUCCUGAUCGAAGCCCCGGUAAACGGCGGCCGUAACUAUAACGGUCCUAAGGUAGCGAAAUUCCUUGUCGGGUAAGUUCCGACCUGCACGAAUGGCGUAAUGAUGGCCAGGCUGUCUCCACCCGAGACUCAGUGAAAUUGAACUCGCUGUGAAGAUGCAGUGUACCCGCGGCAAGACGGAAAGACCCCGUGAACCUUUACUAUAGCUUGACACUGAACAUUGAGCCUUGAUGUGUAGGAUAGGUGGGAGGCUUUGAAGUGUGGACGCCAGUCUGCAUGGAGCCGACCUUGAAAUACCACCCUUUAAUGUUUGAUGUUCUAACGUGGACCCGUAAUCCGGGUUGCGGACAGUGUCUGGUGGGUAGUUUGACUGGGGCGGUCUCCUCCUAAAGAGUAACGGAGGAGCACGAAGGUUGGCUAAUCCUGGUCGGACAUCAGGAGGUUAGUGCAAUGGCAUAAGCCAGCUUGACUGCGAGCGUGACGGCGCGAGCAGGUGCGAAAGCAGGUCAUAGUGAUCCGGUGGUUCUGAAUGGAAGGGCCAUCGCUCAACGGAUAAAAGGUACUCCGGGGAUAACAGGCUGAUACCGCCCAAGAGUUCAUAUCGACGGCGGUGUUUGGCACCUCGAUGUCGGCUCAUCACAUCCUGGGGCUGAAGUAGGUCCCAAGGGUAUGGCUGUUCGCCAUUUAAAGUGGUACGCGAGCUGGGUUUAGAACGUCGUGAGACAGUUCGGUCCCUAUCUGCCGUGGGCGCUGGAGAACUGAGGGGGGCUGCUCCUAGUACGAGAGGACCGGAGUGGACGCAUCACUGGUGUUCGGGUUGUCAUGCCAAUGGCACUGCCCGGUAGCUAAAUGCGGAAGAGAUAAGUGCUGAAAGCAUCUAAGCACGAAACUUGCCCCGAGAUGAGUUCUCCCUGAGACUUUAAGUCUCCUGAAGGAACGUUGAAGACGACGACGUUGAUAGGCCGGGUGUGUAAGCGCAGCGAUGCGUUGAGCUAACCGGUACUAAUGAACCGUGAGGCUUAACCUU
Molecule: ribosomal RNA, 1381 nt
Filed under: Salmonella enterica subsp. enterica serovar Newport
Lineage: Bacteria; Pseudomonadati; Pseudomonadota; Gammaproteobacteria; Enterobacterales; Enterobacteriaceae
Description: partial 23S ribosomal RNA
Rfam family: Bacterial large subunit ribosomal RNA
Source: RNAcentral